Molecule: ribosomal RNA, 111 nt
Filed under: uncultured euryarchaeote
Lineage: Archaea; Methanobacteriati; Methanobacteriota
Description: partial 16S ribosomal RNA
Rfam family: Archaeal small subunit ribosomal RNA
Source: RNAcentral
AACCUUUACAAUGCACGAAAGUGUGAUAAGGGGAUCCCAAGUGCUAUGCUUUUAGUAUGGCUUUUGCCAAGAGUAAAAACCUUGGCGAAUAAGUGGUGGGUAAGACUUGUG